Molecule: non-coding RNA, 30 nt
Filed under: Mus musculus (house mouse)
Lineage: Eukaryota; Metazoa; Chordata; Mammalia; Rodentia; Muridae
Source: RNAcentral
UAUAAGGUCUAGGACUCAAUCCAAGGGAAC